UUGGUUUGCUCCAGGGGUAUCUUUCAUGAUGCCAAAACUAAGAUAGACUGUUGGGCGAAACGUUAAACAUUUAAAAUCAGUUUCAAACAACGGGUUCAUAUAAUUUUGGUAAAUAGGGAAUGGGAGAUUGGAAAUUUUGUUAAAACUGUUGAUAAGAAGGGGGGGUUUCUUGUGUGACCAAUAAUUGGAGGAAGGGAUAAUCUCCGACAAGGAUUGCAAUACGGGAAGCAAAGGGUGAGAAGAAUAUUGAAAGAUCUUGAAGAGGAAUCUAUUAGCAAGGAAUUGUCUACGUAGAUGUAGAGGGGGCUCCAGACAUUCGACUUGAAGAGCGUUUGUUGAAGGAAGCCGCCAUAAUCAAAAUGACUUCUAAUGAUUGCGUUGUACAGGAGCUUUUGGUUAUACGGAUGUGAUCCCCAACGAACACCAGAAAGUGCACUUUCAGGGAGGCGUCUCUUGCGGGAAAAAACGACAGCUGUGCUUUUGUUAGCUGAAAGAGAGAGGCCGUGAUCGGUAAGCCAAGAGUCUAGGUAAAAAAGGGCAGAGUUGAGGCGUCUUUCAGUAUCUGAAAAAGAUUUGGAACAAGCGUACAGGGCGAUAUCGUCUGCAUAUUGCAAGAUUUUGCAGAAGCAAUUGACUGAAGUGCCGAGGUCAGACGUGUACAAGCUGAAAAGGAGAGGGCUAAGAACGGAACCUUGAGGCAAGCCGUUCCAGACCAUACGGGAGGGGGUUGUGGAACCGUUAACACGCACUGCGAUAGAGCGACCCAUAAACAUGUUGUAAAUGACAUUGAUCAUCUUCACAGGAAUACACAGAUUGAGCAUCUUCUGCCAGAGUAGUGGAAGAUUCACGUUAUCAUAAGCUGAUG
Hyposmocoma kahamanoa is the source of this 865-nucleotide long non-coding RNA. RefSeq lists it as uncharacterized. The record is from RefSeq and is a predicted model, not a curated record. NCBI's taxonomy places the organism in Eukaryota, Metazoa, Arthropoda, Insecta, Lepidoptera, Cosmopterigidae. The transcript is spliced from 3 exons.